This 253-nucleotide ribosomal RNA is filed under the name uncultured bacterium. RNAcentral describes it as "partial 16S ribosomal RNA". It matches the Rfam family "Bacterial small subunit ribosomal RNA", at positions 524 to 776 of the family's 1533-position model. The record is from RNAcentral.
UACGGAGGGUGCAGGCGUUAAUCGGAAUUAUUGGGCGUAAAGGGUGCGUAGGCGGCAUGUUAAGUCAAUUGUUAAAUUUUCCGGCCUAACUGGAAGCAAGCAAUAGAUACUGAUGUGCUAGAGAGUGAGAGAGAGAAGUGGAAUUCUCGGAGUAGCGGUAAAAUGCGUGGAUCUCGAGAGGAACACCAAUGGCGAAGGCAGCUUCUUGGCUCAUUUCUGACGCUCAUGCACGAAAGCGUGGGGAGCAAAAGGG